AUUGAACGCUGGCGGCAGGCCUAACACAUGCAAGUCGAGCGGAUGAAGGGAGCUUGCUCCUGGAUUCAGCGGCGGACGGGUGAGUAAUGCCUAGGAAUCUGCCUGGUAGUGGGGGAUAACGUCCGGAAACGGGCGCUAAUACCGCAUACGUCCUGAGGGAGAAAGUGGGGGAUCUUCGGACCUCACGCUAUCAGAUGAGCCUAGGUCGGAUUAGCUAGUUGGUGGGGUAAAGGCCUACCAAGGCGACGAUCCGUAACUGGUCUGAGAGGAUGAUCAGUCACACUGGAACUGAGACGUGGUCCAGACUCCUAGGGGAGGCAGCAGUGGGGAAUAUUGGACAAUAGGCGAAAGCCUGAUCCUACCAUGCCGCGUGUGUGAAGAAGGUCUUCGGAUUGUACAGCACUUCAAGUUGGGAGGAAGGGCAGUAAGUUAAUACCUCGCUGUUUUGACGUUACCAACAGAAUAAGCACCGGCUAACUUCGUG
This 484-nucleotide ribosomal RNA is filed under the name uncultured bacterium. RNAcentral's name for it is "partial 16S ribosomal RNA". It matches the Rfam family "Bacterial small subunit ribosomal RNA", at positions 30 to 507 of the family's 1533-position model. The record is from RNAcentral.